GAGGUUUUUAAUAUUUGAUGGUAAUUCCAUUUUAUCUCUUUCUUUUUUUUGCCCCUCAUAAAUUAGAUAAAUAGACCAUGUUUUGACCAAAAAGGGAAAGAAAAGAGAUAAAGAUCAUGCGAUGUCUUUUUGUUGAUAAUACAAACUUUCUCAAAGUAGCACAAGUACGAGUGCAUUCUACUCUGAACCACUUGAAGUUGCGGUGUGAUGUGAUCUCGACUUGACAUUAGUUUAAGUAUAAGCCAAGAAGCAUGCUUUGGACUACGAGGAUUCCACAUGCAUGUAAGCAAAGAAAAUAACUUCAACUCUUCUAACUGUAACAGGUUUACACUUUCUCACAGCCGUCAUUGCAACCAGUUCCACAUAAUUUCACUUGCCCUGCAGAUUCCAAACUAGACUUGAUCUCAACCAUCAAUUACCCAUCAAUAGGAGUCUCUGGAUUCAAGGGAAAUGAGAACAAGAGAGUGCAUAGGACAGUGAUUAACGUUAACAUUCAAGCCACGCCAGAGAAACUCCAGUUUACAAAAAGAUGGUGAGAAGUUGACAUACCAGGUGAUAGUCUCUUCUGCUGCUUCACUUAAGCAAGAUGUGUUUGGAGCUCUUACAUACUUGGUCUAAUGCCAAGUACAAGGUCAGAAGGCCAAUUGUAAUUAGUAGCGAGAGUAGUAGCAGCACGAACUGAGUAAUGGUAUAAAGUUAAGUAUGAUAAAUAUGGAAUAAUAAAGCUUAACCUAGAACAAAAUAUUGUUCAGUAUGUUACAUAAUAAUGUAAUCUUUCUGCAUUAUACAUCAUAUAAAUUCCA
RNAcentral lists this long non-coding RNA (803 nucleotides) under Brassica napus (rape). RNAcentral's name for it is "long non-coding RNA (BNAP_LNC005980)". Lineage: Eukaryota; Viridiplantae; Streptophyta; Magnoliopsida; Brassicales; Brassicaceae. The record is from RNAcentral.